CCUGCCAGUAGUCAUAUGCUUGUCUCAAAGAUUAAGCCAUGCAUGUCUCAGUACAAGCCGAAUUAAGGUGAAACCGCGAAAGGCUCAUUAAAUCAGUUAUGGUUCCUUAGAUCGUACCCACAUUUACUUGGAUAACUGUGGUAAUUCUAGAGCUAAUACAUGCAAACAGAGCUCCGACCGGAGACGGAAGGAGCGCUUUUAUUAGAUCAAAACCAAUCGGCGUCGGUCGCCUCGCGCGUCCGUCGUCGUUCGCCCUGGCGAAUCUGAAUAACUUUAAGCAGAUCGCACGGUCUCGCACCGGCGACGCAUCUUUCAAAUGUCUGCCUUAUCAACUGUCGAUGGUAGGUUCCGUGCCUACCAUGGUCGUAACGGGUAACGGGGAAUCAGGGUUCGAUUCCGGAGAGGGAGCCUGAGAAACGGCUACCACAUCCAAGGAAGGCAGCAGGCGCGCAAAUUACCCACUCCCGGCACGGGGAGGUAGUGACGAAAAAUAACGAUACGGGACUCAUCCGAGGCCCCGUAAUCGGAAUGAGCACACUCUAAACCCUUUAACGAGGAUCAAUUGGAGGGCAAGUCUGGUGCCAGCAGCCGCGGUAAUUCCAGCUCCAAUAGCGUAUAUUAAAGUUGUUGCGGUUAAAAAGCUCGUAGUCGAAUCUGUGUCCCGCGCCGCCGGUUCAUCGCUCGCGGUGUUUAACUGGCGUGUUCCGCGGGACGUCCUGCCGGUGGGCUUAGCCCGCGAGGGCGGCCCAACUUGCGAAUCCCGCCGCGGUGCUCUUCGCUGAGUGUCGAGGCGGGCCGGCACGUUUACUUUGAACAAAUUAGAGUGCUUAAAGCAGGCUAAAACUUCGCCUGAAUACCGUGUGCAUGGAAUAAUGGAAUAGGACCUCGGUUCUAUUUUGUUGGUUUUCGGAACCCCGAGGUAAUGAUUAAUAGGAACGGAUGGGGGCAUUCGUAUUGCGACGUUAGAGGUGAAAUUCUUGGAUCGUCGCAAGACGGACGGAAGCGAAAGCAUUUGCCAAAAACGCUUUCAUUGAUCAAGAACGAAAGUUAGAGGUUCGAAGGCGAUCAGAUACCGCCCUAGUUCUAACCAUAAACGAUGCCAGCUAGCGAUCCGCCGACGUUCCUCCGAUGACUCGGCGGGCAGCUUCCGGGAAACCAAAGCUUUUGGGUUCCGGGGGAAGUAUGGUUGCAAAGCUGAAACUUAAAGGAAUUGACGGAAGGGCACC
This 1226-nucleotide ribosomal RNA is filed under the name Putridiphycobacter roseus. Its description in RNAcentral is "Eukaryotic small subunit ribosomal RNA". It matches the Rfam family "Eukaryotic small subunit ribosomal RNA", at positions 13 to 1168 of the family's 1831-position model. The record is from Rfam by way of RNAcentral. Lineage: Bacteria; Pseudomonadati; Bacteroidota; Flavobacteriia; Flavobacteriales; Crocinitomicaceae.